AUUGAACGCUGGCGGCAGGCCUAACACAUGCAAGUCGAACGAGUGGCGGACGGGUGAGUAAUGUCUGGGAAACUGUCUGAUGGAGGGGGAUAACUACUGGAAACGGUAGCUAAUACCGCAUACCAUCAGAUGUGCCCAGAUGGGAUUAGCUUUUUGGUGGGGUAACGGCUCACCAAGGCGACGAUCCCUAGCUGGUCUGAGAGGAUGACCGGCCACACGGGAACUGAGACACGGGCAAGACUCCUACGGGGGGCGGCAGUGGGGAUUAUUGCACAAUGGGCGCAAGCCGGAAGCAGCCAUGCCGCGUGUAUGAAGAAGGCCUUCGGGUUGUAAAGUACUUUCAGCAGGGAGGCGUUACCCACAGAAGAAGCACCGGCUAACUCCGUGCCAGCAGCCGCGGUAAUUC
RNAcentral lists this ribosomal RNA (406 nucleotides) under uncultured bacterium. RNAcentral's name for it is "partial 16S ribosomal RNA". It matches the Rfam family "Bacterial small subunit ribosomal RNA", at positions 30 to 526 of the family's 1533-position model. The record is from RNAcentral.